UUGUAUUGCAGGAAUGCCAGGCAGACAAAGCAUGGCCACUGUGGUUGGAAAAGGUCCUGGGAUUAGAUAAAACAGAGACAGUCUCUAACCCUGUGGUUUGAGUGGCUUUGUCAGGGCCCGUGAGGGAUUCCAACCCCCAUACAUGGUCUACUUCUAGAUCUGCCUUUCCAGAGGUGACCAGGCUGGUCUGCCCCUCACUAUCAUGUCCCCAUUCUUGUACCUGAUCAUAUUCUGUUUCCUGUCUACCUACCACCAGACCAUGUUGCUGCAUGCUCCUCCUCCAUUCUGUAAGGUUGGUGUCAUAUUUAAAGAACAUGCAUUAAAACUCAGAAAUCAGUAUCGCUACAGUACUGUCUGCUGGAAGGCUUAAUCCAGAUGUUCCCGGCUGUCUCCUAAUGCCCCUUUACUGCUCAACAUCCAACCUGGCACCUCUCCUCUCACUGAGUUGCCACAUCACUUCAGUCUCAUCCAAGGUGUAUUAUAUUCCUUGUUUCCCCAAGACCUCGAUGCUUAAAGAACACCAAUCACGUGUUUGGACCCUGUAUGUGACUUGGUCUAAUGUUCUCUUGGGACUGGACCCAGGAUGUGAGUGUCGGGGGAGGCCACCAUUGAGGGGCACUGCUCUUAUUAUGGCAUCACAGGGCACUGUGUGCUGUCAGUGUGACCCAUUACUGCUUGCUGACCCCUUAGACAGCUUGAUUGAAGCAAUGCCUGCCAGCUUCCUCUGCUGUAAAGACACACUGUUGUCCUCUUCCCGACCCUGGUCCAGCCUACACUAUAGUAGACAGCAUGGUGCCAACUGUCUUUCCUCCUUUCAUUUCGGGUCUCCCUCACCGGCCUGGGGGUCACUGAUGGAGGCAGAAGUGUGUCCCAUUCAUUUCUGAAGAGCAGCCCAACUCCAGCAAACAGG
Long non-coding RNA from Peromyscus leucopus (white-footed mouse), 910 nucleotides. RefSeq lists it as uncharacterized. The transcript is spliced from 3 exons. Lineage: Eukaryota; Metazoa; Chordata; Mammalia; Rodentia; Cricetidae. The record is from RefSeq and is a predicted model, not a curated record.